AAAGGGUGCGUAGGCGGUUUAUUAAGUCAGUGGUGAAGACGGUCGCUCAACGAUUGCAGUGCCAUUGAUACUGGUAGACUUGAGUGGGAUUGAGGUAGCUGGAAUGGAUAGUGUAGCGGUGAAAUGCAUAGAUAUUAUCCAGAACACCAAUUGCGUAGGCAAGUUACUAAGUCUCAACUGACGCUGAGGCACGAAAGUGUGGGUAUCAAACAGGAUUAGAUACCCCCAGU
RNAcentral lists this ribosomal RNA (230 nucleotides) under uncultured bacterium. Its description in RNAcentral is "partial 16S ribosomal RNA". It matches the Rfam family "Bacterial small subunit ribosomal RNA", at positions 562 to 792 of the family's 1533-position model. The record is from RNAcentral.